UGACUUCAGGGAAGGAGAGCAUCAGGUAAAGGCAUCAAUAGAUGUGCAAACAAAAAUAGCAAGACAGCAACCCUAGUGGCUGGAGGAGUGGCUUGAAGUUUAGAGGGCCUGCUGUUCUAGUAAGUUCAGUCCCCAACAUCUACAUCUGAGGGUUGGCAACAUCCAUUAACUCCAGCUCCAGGGCCACUUCUUACUUUAUUGGGCACACAAUGCCAUGCACACACGUGUGCCUAUAUGCACAUAUGCGCACAGAAUUGAAAAUAAUAAAAAUAAAUCUUAAAACAGGGACUUUGACUUCUAUUGUUAAUCACUUGGUUUGCAAAGCAGUUCACGUGCUGUCAGUUGGAAAGAGCAUUCGUUUUUGAUGCUGUGUUCAUCAGUGACUACUGCUGGGUCACUAAGUAGUAACACAGAAAUUACUGCUGGGUCACUAAGUAGUAACACAGAAAUUAUUCAUUAAGAAAAUCCAAGUUAAUUCCUUAAUAGUUAAAGCUAUAAAUUUCCAGAUCAUCUACCCCAUCAUUGAGUUAUAGUAUUUCAUGUUGACAUUAGCUAAGCACUAACAAUUGGUAUAUAUUUUAGAAACAGUAUUUGGUGACUCUUAGGCUCCGAAUGGUUAUAACCCUCUCAUGUCAAAGGUGCCAUUUAUGAAAAAAAAAAAAAAAGAAAGUCAGAUAACAUUGGUGGGGACAAUAGAAGUCACAUAAUUGAAAAACAGUUAGGCAAAGUAUAUUACAUGAAAAUGGAAAAUAUCCAUCCUAACACCCAAACAACAGUUGUGAUUUCUAUGGGUUUCUUGAGAUUACAUAAAUCCACAGGGAUCUCAAGAUUUGAAUGUCAUUGGAAAGGAAUUUCUGUAAUUUAUAGAGACCCUUUGCUUGAGCAUUUUAGACUGAACUUAAAUGAGAUUUAAGUACAAUAAAGAGAACUGCUGGACACCAUGGUGGACGGUGCAGGCUUGUCCUCUCAGCUGAUCAGGGACUGAAACAGAAAACAAGUUCAAAGGCCUGCUCUGGUUAGACUGAGUUCAAGACCAGCCUGGAACAUUCCUGACUCAUUAUAAAAAAGCAAAAAAAAAAAAAAAAAAGGUUCAGAGUUGAAGUGAAAUUAUAGAAUCCUGCCCAGUAUGCCUAAGGAGCUAGGCUCAAUCCUUUGUGUGUAUGUGUGUGUGUGUGUGUGUGUGUGUGUGUGUGUGUGUGUGUGUGUGUCAGAAAGAGAGAGAGAGAGAGACAGAGAGAGAGACAGAGAUAGAUAUGGAGACAGUGACAGGGAGAGACAGAAAGACAGAGAGAGACAAAGAGACAAGAGGGACAGAGACAGAGAGACAGACAUAGGCAGAGACAGAGAGAGGGAGGAGGAGGAGGGGAAAGGAAGAGAAAUAGAAAGAAAGAGAAAACAAAAAAGAGAGAAAGAGAAAGAGAAUGGGCUGGGGGAGGACAGCAUUGAGCACAAAAUUUAUCCCAGAGCUGUUUCUAGAAAUCAUGAAGAUGCUUGUUCCAAGUGUCAGGUAGAUCAUUGGCUGGAGUCAGGGUACCUGCUUUGGGAUAAAGGCAGUGCAUGGAGACAUGUCAACCUCUGCAUGUAGAACACUGUCUGCCCUACAGUGGACACUGGAGAAGCUGACAAAUCACAAGACUGAGUAAAAUGACACCACUGCAUUUCUAGCAUAAACCAUGUGUGGCAAUACAUCUUAGGUGAGUUACAGAAACACAUAUCUUAAGAAAGUUAGAAAAAAUGCUUAUGACCUGGUUAUGUAAUAAAGGUUUUCCUGACCUGAAAAAAGAUCAAAUGUAAAUGACGAGUUUAGAAAUAUCUGCAAUACAUGGAGGAAGGAUUCCUUUACUUGAUACACAAAUGCUAGCAAAGAGUUACAGCAUGAAAAAUGCUCCCAGUGGCAAAGGAAGUCCAAUGAUUAGUGAAUAUAAAACACCAAGAUGAAGAGAGUACACAUUAAAACCAGAAUGAGAUGAUAUCCUAUUCAUCAAACUUUAUAUGACCAAAGACCCUGCCAAUCUUCUGGCAUCUCUAGUGUUGAAAAAUAAAAUCAGAAUGUGUAUAAAAGCUCAGUUUUAUGCAAGUCAUAUGCAUAUAUAGCAAAGUUUUUAAGUUGUACGCAUAUAUUUUGUCUGUGAAUUCAUAUGCUAAGAAUUACUCUUAGAAGAUUGCUGUAUAAAUAUAAGAAGAUAUUUGUGGCGCCAAUUCUUCUGAGCUGACUGAGAUGCCCGCAGGUACCUGUGUAUCCAGACAAUAAACCCUCUUGCUGAUUGCAUCCGGUGGUCUCGGCCUGGUCAUUGGGCUUGGGGAUCUCCUUCCCGAAGGAAGAUUCUCUCUGAGGGUCUUUCAUUUGGGGGCUCGUCCGGGAUUCGGAGAUCCUCCGCCCAGAGAUCACCGACCACCCACAGGGAGGUAAGCUGGCCGACAUUUGUCUUGUCUGUCGUGUCUUGUCCUGUGAAUGAUCGAUCAAUAGGCUCAUAUCUGGGGACUAUCUGGGCUGGCCAGAGAAGGAGCUGACGAGCUUGGACUUCUCCCCCGAAGCCCUGGAAGACGUUCCAAGGGUGGUUGGAGGAGAGGGAGAUCCGGAUCCGUGGCGCCUCCGUCUGUUUUCGGAGGGAUCCGGACCCUCGAUGACUCCGUCUGAAUUUUAUUGGAGUAGAGGAUCCAAGACCCUUGGUGACUCCAUCUGAAUUUUUGGUUUCAGUUUGGUACCGAAGCCGCGUGGUGAGUCUGUCUGUUACUUGUUUGACUGUUGGAAUUGUUUGUCUUCUUUGUGACUUGACUGUGGUUUUCUGGACAUGUUGAUGUCUGUUGUUUGUGUUCUGUUUCUGUGUUUGGUAUCCCAGAAGCAGCUAAGGUUAAGCUGCAGUUUGGGCCAGGUACUGAAGGUACCAGGCAUCUGUGGAAAUUGGUUAUAAGAUGCUUUGUCUUGGUCUUGUUUCUCUGGUUUGUUUUCUGUGAUAUUGUCGAGUGUCUUUUUGGCUUUUGCUUCGUGUUUGAAUUUGGACUGAUGACUGUGUUUGAAUUUGGACUGACUACUGUGUUUAAAAUCUUGGACUGACGACUGUGUUUGAAAUCAUGAAACUGCUUUGUUCGUCAAAGAGUUUUAUUUGGUCAUCUUGGUGCUUAAGUUAAAAGUUGAAAAUAAUUUGCUUGAGAGAAAUUGUUUACUGCCAGGGAGUUUUGUCUCUCCCUCUUGAGCCUCCUCCCCAAGGAGAGAUGCCCCAGGUUGGGGGAGGGGGGCAGAAAAGCCCCUAAAAUAGUUUAAAAAAAUCUACAACAAACUGUGAAAAACUUUGUUUUGCCAGUCAAAAUUUAGAAUUCAGGCUUUGGCUGUGGCCAAGGUCAGGAUUAAUGUCUUCUUUUCCAUGGGCCUUUAAAAGUGAGACAGUUUGGUAAAGGGCUGCUACUGAGGUCCUGAAAGUCCCAGGUGAACCCAUUACAAUUCUUUUGUCAGCCACUUGGUAUCUAGCACCCAGGUUCUAACCAUCUCUCCAUCCUUUUGUUAUUAGUUGUUACUAGAAGCCUAGUGUCAUUUGGAGGCUGGUUCUCUUGAGAGGCAAAGCCACCAAGCCGACACUGAAGAGAGAUACUCCUUGAGGGAAAAUCUAACUCUAGAGAGAGUCGAUAACAGAUUGGCUGCCUCUCUGCUCGCCUUUCUGUUUCAUAGACAAAGCUUGUGCUUAUUUGGACAAUGGCCUUUUUGUCCAAGAAAGGCCUCCUGGUUUAGCUGUGUGACUAAAUGCUAUUUGCCCUCUUCAGUGGACCUCUAUUCUCAAGAUUCUCUUGUUUUCCCACCAUCCCAUUUGAGAUGCUUGUUAGUAACUGUUACAGAUCUUCUUUACCACUGAGGAAAGGCAGAAUCCUGCUAGAGGCCAGAAAGAAUGUUCCAGACAUGGGUGGAAGGCCCUCACUCCUGACUGUUGACUUCAAUACGCCUGAAGGUAGGGAGUGCUCCAGGUCUGCCACCAGGCUCCAAGGGUGGGUCUCUGAGGGGCUGGAAAACGCCCCACCAAUCUGGCUAAGAUAAGGAAAAGAUAUGAAGAGAAAGUUACAGAAAUUUGAAGGGUUAAGCUAAGUUGCUGAGAGUUAGUAUAAGUUACUGAGAAAGUAAGGUUGAACAAAGAGACAAAAAAAAAAGAGGAAGUUAGAGAGCUAAAGAGAGAUAAAAGACAAGAGAGGAACAUAUACUGGCCACAGUAAUUAGGGAACCUAGGAAGACAGUACCUGGCAACAGAAGAGAAUUCCUGGCUAAAGGUCAGUGUGCCUAAUGCAAAGAAAAAGGACCCUGGGUCAAGGACUGUCCCAGGAAGAACAAGAGGGGCCUCUCCAGUGGCUCCGAAGGCAAGCCUCUUGGUCCUAGAGUGCUGGCUAUGCACAAAGAUAGAAGGAAAGCCUGCUCAGUUGUUGUGUGAAUGCGGGGGGCCUAACACUCUGUGCUCCUAUGUCCAAAUGGACUAAUGUCCAGCGAAAGACCUUGGGUACAGGGGGCUACUGGCAACAAACAAUACUUAUGGACUGCCCGAAGAACAGUGGACCUUGGCGUGGGCCGGGUAACUCACUAGUUCAUGGUCAUCCCUGACUGCCCCUAUCCCUUGCUCAUGAGAAAUUUGCUCUCCAAAAUGGCUUGCAUGGGCUGAAAUGGCUGGGUGAGGCCAUGUGUAUGCAUAUCUGCAGACUGUGUAUGUGGAGCUGCAGUCACUACGGAGGACAAAGUGAUUUGGGCGAAAGCCCUGCCUGCUGGUACCUCCGCACAACGGGCUGAACUCAUCGCCUUGACUCAGGCGCUCAAGAUGGCAAAAGGUAAGAGGCUAAAUGUAUAUACAGACAGCCGUUAUGCCUUUGCCACGGCACACAUCCACGGGGAGAUCUACUGGAGGCGGGGGCUGCUCACAUCUAAAGAUAAAGAUAUUAAAAAUAAGGCUAAAAUUCUGGCCCUCUUAGAAGCCCUAUUCUUGCCCAAAAGACUGAGUAUUAUACAUUGUCCAGGACACCAGAAAGGGCACAACCCAGAGGCACGAAGAAACCGGCUGGCCGAUGCCACGGCGAGAGAAGCGGCCAUGAGCAAACAAAUCUUGCCCUUAAAUAGCCCAGACCAACCCACGCCCCCACCAGUGGGACAAACCAGUUGGGUUUAUGCCCAUGAGGACAUAGAGCUCCUAGAAAAAAUGGGGGCCAUCUACCACCCUCAACUAAAACAGUGGGUCUACAAAGGACUUUUGAAUUGAUCUCCUUUUUACACAAAUUAACCCAUUUGGGGUUUAAGAAGAUGAAAACCUUACUAGAUCGGGAAGAGAUAAAUCUGUGUUUUUUUGAAUCGAGACAAAGCGAUACAAAAGGUGACUGAGAGUUGCAAAGCGUGCGCUCAGGUUAACCUGGGAAGGACCAUGAUUGGACAAGGAGUUCGUCCUAGGGGACACCGUCCCGACAUCCAUUGGGAAAUUGAUUUUACUGAAAUUAAACCAGGUAUAUAUGGAUACAAGUAUCUCCUAGUGUUUGUAGACACCUUCUCAGGAUGGGUCAAAGCCUUCUCCACGAAGCACGAGACUACAAAAAUGGUCACCAAGAAGCUCCUCGAGGAAAUCUUUCCCAGGUAUGACAUGCCUCAAGCGUUGGGGUCGGACAACGGGCCCGCUUUCGUCUCCCAAGUAAGUCAGUUGGUGGCCAAAUUGUUGGGGAUUGAUUAGAAAUUACAUUGUGCCUAUAGACCCCAGAGUUCAGGUCAGGUAGAACACAUGAAUAGAACAAUUAAGGAGACUUUAUCCAAACUUACGCUUGCAACUGGCUCAAAGGAUUAGGUGGCCCUCCUUCCCCUAGUUCUAUAUCGGGCCCGGAAUACCCCGGGCCCCCUUGGUCUAACUCCUUUUAAAAUAAUAUAUAGAACACCACCUCCAUUUGUCCAUUUCUUUGAUUCAAACAUUGCUGAUUUUGCUGACAGCCCUUCUCUGAGGGCCCAUUUACAGGCCCUACAGAUUGUACAGAGAGACGUCUGGAGACCUUUGGCCGCUGCUCACCAGGACAAGCUUGAGCAUCCGGUGGUGCCACACCCGUUCCAGAUUGGAGACACCGUGUGGGUGCGCAGACACCAGACCAAGAAUCUCGAGCCACGGUGGAAAGGACCCUACACCGUCCUCCUGACUACCCCGACCGCCCUAAAGGUAGACGGAGUCUCGGCUUAGAUCCACGCACCACACGUCAAGGCAGUCCGGUCUGAGGAAUUGACUAAUCACAACACUACACCCCAGACAUGGAGAGUUCAGCGCACUCCAAGCACUCCAAACCCCUUAAAGUUAAAACUCCUACGUGGCUCCUCCUAGCCCUUUUGUGGCCUAGAGUCAGUGGGGGGAAUAAGCCCCCACCAGACAGAAAUUUCUUGACCAAGUCGAGUGAAAGAUUUCACUCAAAGUUAGCAAAAAAAAAAAAAUGGGGGAAUGAAAGACCCCAGCUUAGCAGCAGUAACGCCAUUUUGCAAGGCUGUACUUAAGAUGACUGGUUCAGGGAAAGGUUAGAACACUGAGUACACAGCGGCUGCCAAGCAGGAUGUGUUUGGUUGAAGGCCUGGCAACAGGACGACUUCGGUUGAGCACCUGACAAUGAAAAAAAAAGCCCCGGGAGAGGUCCCACACCCUGGUGGGGGGCCGAGUCAGUCGUUAUGUUCCAAGAAGGUAGCUAGGAAACUUGCCCCCGGGCUAAACCCUUGCCAUAUUAGAAUCCACCAAUUAUAUCCCUGUAACCAUGCAUCUGCUUCUGUAUGCUUGCUUCUGCUCCCCAAAAUCCUAUAAAAGCCCAUCCUUGGUUCCGUGGGGCGCGCCAGUCCCCCGAGUGACUGAAGCGCCCGCAGGUGCCUGUGCCUGUGUAUCCCGACAAUAAACCAAAUCCUCUUGCUGAUUGCAUCCUGUGGUGUCUCGGUCUGGUCUUUGGAGUUGGAGGGUCUCCAUCCCGAGGGAAAGUUCUCCCUGAGAGCUUUUCACCAUCGGGAUAGGUGAGGGGAUAGGCUUGAUUUCUAUUGCAAAUGAUGUAACAUUACAUAUGUUAGUACUCCUAACACUUCUUGGAACUGUGCCUCAGGGAUCACAAUCUGUAUAAGUUUAGAAGUUCUAAAA
This is a non-coding RNA of Rattus norvegicus (Norway rat), 7097 nucleotides long. NCBI's taxonomy places the organism in Eukaryota, Metazoa, Chordata, Mammalia, Rodentia, Muridae. The record is from RefSeq and is a predicted model, not a curated record.